GUUGUAUAGUCAAGUAAUUAAGUGCAUGUGGUGGAUGCCUUGGCAGUCAGAGGCGAUGAAAGACGUGAUAGCCUGCGAAAAGCUCCGGGGAGGCGGCAAAUAUCCUUUGAUCCGGAGAUUUCUGAAUGGGGGAACCCACCCGCUACAAGGCGGGUAUCAUAAGCUGAAUACAUAGGCUUAUGAAGCGAACGAGGGGAAGUGAAACAUCUCAGUACCCUUAGGAAAAGAAAUCAAUUGAGAUUCCCUUAGUAGCGGCGAGCGAACGGGGAGCAGCCCAUUAAGUUAUGUGUGUUCUAGUGGAACGCUCUGGGAAGUGCGAACGUAGAGGGUGAUAUUCCCGUACACGAAAGGGCACACACAAUGAUGACGAGUAGGGCGAGGCACGUGAAACCUUGUCUGAAUAUGGGGGGACCAUCCUCCAAGGCUAAAUACUCCUGACUGACCGAUAGUGAACCAGUACCGUGAGGGAAAGGCGAAAAGAACCCCUGUGAGGGGAGUGAAAUAGAUCCUGAAACCGCAUGCAUACAAGCAGUGGGAGCACCUUCGUGGUGUGACUGCGUACCUUUUGUAUAAUGGGUCAGCGACUUACAUUCAGUAGCAAGGUUAACCGAAUAGGGGAGCCGUAGAGAAAUCGAGUCUUAAUAGGGCGUUUAGUUGCUGGGUGUAGACCCGAAACCAGGCGAUCUAUCCAUGAGCAGGUUGAAGGUUGGGUAACACUAACUGGAGGACCGAACCCACUGUCGUUGAAAAGCCAGGGGAUGACUUGUGGAUAGGGGUGAAAGGCUAAUCAAGCCUGGUGAUAGCUGGUUCUCCCCGAAAGCUAUUUAGGUAGCGCCUCGGACGAAUACCAUU
RNAcentral lists this ribosomal RNA (852 nucleotides) under Acinetobacter haemolyticus. RNAcentral describes it as "partial 23S ribosomal RNA". It matches the Rfam family "Bacterial large subunit ribosomal RNA", at positions 1 to 897 of the family's 2925-position model. The record is from RNAcentral. Lineage: Bacteria; Pseudomonadati; Pseudomonadota; Gammaproteobacteria; Moraxellales; Moraxellaceae.